GACGAACGCUGGCGGCGUGCCUAAUACAUGCAAGUCGAACGCAGUGGGGACGGGUGAGUAACACGUGGGUAACCUCACAUAAGAGGGGAUAACACUUGGAAACAGGUGCUAAACCGAUACUGUUGGAGGGACGCGCGGGUCAUUAGCUUGUUGGUGAGGUAACGUCUCACCAAGGCCACGAUGCAUAGCGUGCCUGAGAGGGGGAUCGGCCACACUGGAACUGAGACACGGCCCAGACUCCUACGGGAGGCAGCAGUGGGGAAUCUUCGGCAAUGGACGAAAGUCUGACCGAGCAACGCCGCGUGAGUGAAGAAGGUUUUCGGAUCGUAAAACUCUGUUGUUAGAGAAGCGGUAUCUAACCAGAAAGCCACGGCUAACUACGUGCCAGCAGCCGCGGUAAUUC
RNAcentral lists this ribosomal RNA (403 nucleotides) under uncultured bacterium. RNAcentral's name for it is "partial 16S ribosomal RNA". It matches the Rfam family "Bacterial small subunit ribosomal RNA", at positions 28 to 526 of the family's 1533-position model. The record is from RNAcentral.